Molecule: ribosomal RNA, 375 nt
Filed under: Triticum aestivum (bread wheat)
Lineage: Eukaryota; Viridiplantae; Streptophyta; Magnoliopsida; Poales; Poaceae
Description: partial small subunit ribosomal RNA
Source: RNAcentral
AUGACUAGGGAUAACCUUAGGAAGAGACACAUCAUCAAACCCCUUGAUUGUGUUUACUGCUUGGAACAAGAGUCUUGUUCUCACCUAUUUUUUGAAUGUAUAGUUGCUAAACAUCUCUGCGCCCACAUUGAGGAAUAUUUCUCUAGUAAGAUUGGCUCAUCCUUCGAAUCUGUCGCCGGAUUCUGGAUUGCUACCAAAAAGUGCUCAGUUUUAAACACUGUUAGCUCAGAUGUCCUUUGGUGCCUCUGGAAAUAUGGAAAUGCUAUGAUUUUCAGUAACACCUCCUGGAUUUCCAUUCCGCAGGUCUUGAGGUUGAUCAGGAACAUGGUAGGAACUGGCCGAUUCUCUCCCCUGGAUUGGACAAGGACAAGUUGA